RNAcentral lists this long non-coding RNA (359 nucleotides) under Actinidia chinensis (golden kiwifruit). RNAcentral describes it as "long non-coding RNA (ACHI_LNC006289)". The record is from RNAcentral. Lineage: Eukaryota; Viridiplantae; Streptophyta; Magnoliopsida; Ericales; Actinidiaceae.
AAUAUAUAUUAUAUAUAUGGCAGAAAAAUAUAAUUAAUUUCCCCAGACACCUAUCUUCCUCUUGGGUAAAACUGGAUCCGUAGAUCAGAUAUUAGAAAGAAAAGUAAACACCAUUUGUGCACUAAAUAUUAGUACAAGUUUGAUAAUGUCUUGUUAAGCCAAUCUGAUAGGCGCUUCGUCUGUGCUCCAACCUCUGCAUUUUUGCCGAAAUAAUUGUGGGCAAUUGACAUCAGCGGCAAUAAUUGUGGGCAAUUGACAUCACCACCCUCAUGUCAUGGUUAACUGCUUCCAAGCUUCGAUAAUAAUCGUUUUCCAACCUCGACACUAGUAAAUCGGGUGACAAUGGGACUGGAUACCUG